RNAcentral lists this ribosomal RNA (433 nucleotides) under uncultured bacterium. Its description in RNAcentral is "partial 16S ribosomal RNA". It matches the Rfam family "Bacterial small subunit ribosomal RNA", at positions 29 to 507 of the family's 1533-position model. The record is from RNAcentral.
AACGAACGCUGGCGGCAUGCCUAACACAUGCAAGUCGAACGAGACCUUCGGGUUUAGUGGCGCACGGGUGCGUAACGCGUGGGAACCUGCCCUUAGGUUCGGAAUAACUCCCCGAAAGGGGUGCUAAUACCGGAUAAUGUCUUCGGACCAAAGAUUUAUCGCCUUUGGAUGGGCCCGCGUUGGAUUAGCUAGUUGGUAGGGUAAAAGCCUACCAAGGCGACGAUCCAUAGCUGGUCUGAGAGGAUGAUCAGCCACACUGGCACUGAGACACGCCCCAGACUCCUACGGGAGGCAGCAGUGGGGAAUAUUGGACAAGGGGCGAAAGCCUGAGCCAACAAUGCCGCGUGAGUGAUGAAGGCCUUAGGGUUGUAAAGCUCUUUUACCCGGGAUGAUAAUGACAGUACCGGGAGAAUAAGCGCCGGCUAACUCCGUG